GCAAGCAGCAGGCGCACCUCGCAAACGGAGGACGCCCUUACUCCCAGCAAAUGGGCGAUAGAAAACCGAUCGGUGCCUAUGACAUUCCCAAUAUGCGCUGGCAUGAUGUCGGGGCAGCAUGAGUACGAGCAAUUUUUUUUUUUUUUGCCGAUGCCCGUGAUGCCGCCCCCCACCACGAUGCCGCCCCGGGCAACCGCCCGUGUCGCCCGUAUCUAAAACCGCUACUGCAUAAGUCAACCACAGCACAAUGCAAACGCUUUGGAGGGACGUUACCCAAGACUGAGACGCCUCCAUCAACUCUUCAACUGCAACCUUCCGAUUACAAGACAAACUGCCAACUCACGAUUGGCCUAGCACUUGAAGUAUAUGUUUAUUCAAAAAAUGAAAUCACAUGUAACCGAGGACAAGACAGGACUUACAACACAUCCUGCUGAUAUCCCAGCUGCACAUGAGACUUACCACACUAACUGUGCGAAUAUAACACUGCAACCCGUCACACCCCGCUUAGCGACACUGCAAUUGUGACACGCACUGCAAACAAUUCAGGUCUCAGCGCAGCUGGGACUCAGCGCUAUGCAUGGCCUGCGAUCUUGGAGACAGAGGGAGGUGGCACAAACAAUUAAACAAAAAAAGGGAGGUUAGUCCGCCCUUACACAACUCACUCUCAAUCAAUAACCGCCUUUACGGCUGGACGGACUAACCAAAACAAAAUUACAAAUCAAUCAAAAGAACGAAAAAAGGACAGCAGAGACAGCACAGCUGAAAAACAAACAACAUUAUCGAUUAAAAUAUUACCCAAUAAAAUACCAAUUUUAUGAAACCAUUUAAAAUCAUGAAGCUAAAAACAAACACUCAAUA
Molecule: long non-coding RNA, 858 nt
Organism: Oreochromis aureus
Lineage: Eukaryota; Metazoa; Chordata; Actinopteri; Cichliformes; Cichlidae
Source: Ensembl